Molecule: ribosomal RNA, 460 nt
Filed under: uncultured bacterium
Lineage: Bacteria
Description: partial 16S ribosomal RNA
Rfam family: Bacterial small subunit ribosomal RNA
Source: RNAcentral
CCUACGGGUGGCAGCAGUGAGGAAUAUUGGUCAAUGGGCGCGAGCCUGAACCAGCCAAGUCGCGUGAAGGAAGACUGCCCUACGGGUUGUAAACCUCUUUUAUCAAGGAAUAAAGUGAGGCACGUGUGCCUUUUUGUGAGUACUUUAAGAAAAAGGAUCGGCUAACUCCGUGCCAGCAGCCGCGGUAAUACGGAGGAUGCGAGCGUUAUCCGGAUUUAUUGGGUUUAAAGGGAGCGUAGAUGGGUUGUUAAGUCAGUUGUGAAAGUUUGCGGCUCAACCGUAAAAUUGCAAUUGAUACUGGAAGUCUUGAGUACAGUUGAAGUAGGCGUAAUUCGUGGUGUAGCGGUGAAAUGCUUAGAUAUCACGAAGAACUCCGAUUGCGAAGGCAGCUUACUAAACUGCCACUGACAUUGAUGCUCGAAAGUGUGGGUAUCAAACAGGAUUAGAUACCCGUGUAGUC